This 475-nucleotide ribosomal RNA is filed under the name uncultured bacterium. Its description in RNAcentral is "partial 16S ribosomal RNA". It matches the Rfam family "Bacterial small subunit ribosomal RNA", at positions 28 to 523 of the family's 1533-position model. The record is from RNAcentral.
GACGAACGCUGGCGGCGUGCUUAACACAUGCAAGUCGAACGGUAAGGCCCUUCGGGGUACACGAGUGGCGAACGGGUGAGUAACACGUGGGUGAAUUGACCUGCACUUUGGGAUAAGCCUGGGAAACGGGGUCUAAUACCGAAUAGGACGCCGGACUGCAUGGUCUGUGGUGGAAAGGUUUUGCGGUGUGGGAUGGGUCAGCGGCCGAUCGGCUUGGUGGUGGGGUGAUGGCCUACCAAGGCGACGACGGGUAGCCGGCCUGAGAGGGUGACCGGCCACACUGGGACUGAGAUACGGCCCAGACUCCUACGGGAGGCAGCAGUGGGGAAUAUUGCACAAUGGGAGCAAGCCUGAUGCAGCGACGCCGCGUGAGGGAUGUCGUCCUUCGGGUUGUAAACUACUUUUAAUUGGGAAAAACUAGCGAUGGUACCAAUGGAAUAAGAGGUUGCUAACUCUGUGCCAGCAGCCGCCGUAA